UACGUAGGGUGCAAGCGUUAAUCGGAAUUACUUGGCGUAAAGCGUGCGCAGGCGGUUAUAUAAGACAGAUGUGAAAUCCCCGGGCUCAACCUGGGAACUGCAUUUGUGACUGCAAGGCUAGAGUACGGCAGAGGGGGAUGGAAUUCCGCGUGUAGCAGUGAAAUGCGUAGAUAUGCGGAGGAACACCAAUGGCGAAGGCAAUCCCCUGGGCCUGUACUGACGCUCAUGCACGAAAGCGUGGGGAGCAAACAGG
This 253-nucleotide ribosomal RNA is filed under the name uncultured bacterium. Its description in RNAcentral is "partial 16S ribosomal RNA". It matches the Rfam family "Bacterial small subunit ribosomal RNA", at positions 524 to 776 of the family's 1533-position model. The record is from RNAcentral.